Molecule: transfer RNA, 73 nt
Filed under: Diaphorina citri (Asian citrus psyllid)
Lineage: Eukaryota; Metazoa; Arthropoda; Insecta; Hemiptera; Psyllidae
Rfam family: tRNA
About the family: Transfer RNA (tRNA) molecules are approximately 80 nucleotides in length. Their secondary structure includes four short double-helical elements and three loops (D, anti-codon, and T loops).
Source: Rfam by way of RNAcentral
GCCUAGUUAGCUUGGAGGCUAGCGCGUCUGCAUUGUAAGCAGGAGGUCGCGCGUUCGAUUCCCGCGCGAGGCG